GACGAAACGCUGGCGGCGUGCCUAAUACAUGCAAGUCGAGCGAGCUUGCCUAGAUGAUUUUAGUUGCUUGCACUAAAUAGAAACUAAGAUACAAGCGAGCGGCGGACGGGUGAGUAACACGUGGGUAACCUGCCCGAGAGACUGGGAUAACACCUGGAAACAGAUGCUAAUACCGGAUAACAACACUAGACGCAUGUCUAGAGUUUGAAAGAUGGUUCUGCUAUCACUCUUGGAUGGACCUGCGGUGCAUUAGCUAGUUGGUAAGGUAACGGCUUACCAAGGCAAUGAUGCAUAGCCGAGUUGAGAGACCGAUCGGCCACAUUGGGACUGAGACACGGCCCAAACUCCUACGGGAGGCAGCAGUAGGGAAUCUUUCC
Molecule: ribosomal RNA, 377 nt
Filed under: uncultured Lactobacillus sp.
Lineage: Bacteria; Bacillati; Bacillota; Bacilli; Lactobacillales; Lactobacillaceae
Description: bacterial SSU rRNA
Rfam family: Bacterial small subunit ribosomal RNA
Source: RNAcentral